Molecule: transfer RNA, 82 nt
Filed under: Streptomyces changanensis
Lineage: Bacteria; Bacillati; Actinomycetota; Actinomycetes; Kitasatosporales; Streptomycetaceae
Description: Streptomyces sp. HL-66 tRNA-Arg
Source: RNAcentral
GCCAGGUCAGCGGGGGUAUGGCGUUGGAGUCGCCGAGUGCCUUCUAAGCACUUGGCCGCAGGUUCGAGUCCUGCCGGGGGCG